Molecule: ribosomal RNA, 362 nt
Filed under: uncultured bacterium
Lineage: Bacteria
Description: partial 16S ribosomal RNA
Rfam family: Bacterial small subunit ribosomal RNA
Source: RNAcentral
CCUACGGGAGGCAGCAGUGAGGAAUAUUGGUCAAUGGACGAGAGUCUGAACCAGCCAAGUAGCGUGAAGGAUGACUGCCCUAUGGGUUGUAAACUUCUUUUAUAUGGGAAUAAAAUGUUCCACGUGUGGGAUUUUGUAUGUACCAUAUGAAUAAGGAUCGGCUAACUCCGUGCCAGCAGCCGCGGUAAUACGGAGGAUCCGCGAGUUAUCCGGAUUGAUUGGGUUUAAAGGGUGCGUAGGUGGAUUGUUAAGUCAGUUGUGGAAGUGUGCGGCUCAAACGUAAAAUUCCAGUUGAAACUGGGUGUGUUGAGUACAUGAGAGGUAGGCAGAAUCCGGGGUGUAGCGGAGAAAGGCUUAGAUAU